RNAcentral lists this ribosomal RNA (253 nucleotides) under uncultured bacterium. RNAcentral's name for it is "partial 16S ribosomal RNA". It matches the Rfam family "Archaeal small subunit ribosomal RNA", at positions 474 to 727 of the family's 1478-position model. The record is from RNAcentral.
UACCCGCAGCUCAAGUGGUGGUCAUUAUUAUUGGGCCUAAAGCGUCCGUAGCUGGCUUGUUAGAUGCCUGGGUAAAUCGAUACGCUUAACGCAUCGAAUUCCGGGUAGACCGGCAAGCUCGAGACCGGGAGAGGCGUGAGCUACUCGAGGGGUAGGGGUAAAAUCCUGUAAUCCUUCGGGGAGGACCAGUGGCGAAGGCGUCACGCUAGAACGGCUCUGACAGUGAGGGACGAAGCCCUGGGGCGCAAACCGG